AAAAAAAUGUUAAAUAAUCGUCCACCAGAGGCCUUCAUCAAAAGAUUUUUCACACCCCAAGAAGGAAUUAAGAUCAUCAAAAUCUUUUCCUCCCCCAGAAAAUUCGAUAAUUGAAUUCUUUUUCACCCCCAGAAACGACGAUCAAUUUCCCCUAGAAAUUGCUAUUGUGAAGUUUAAAGUUUUGGUGUCUCCCGAUAAAGGCAGAAACGAUGCAAGUAAAAUUCACGGCGGAUACAUGACAACGGGAACCAACUGGAAAAGAUAUUGGGUGGUUGUGGAAGUUUAACAAUUAGACACAUCAAUUUACCUUAGAACAAAGUCAAUUUCUCACGUGCACUUGAUCUAUUGUUGUGCCGCUGGAACGGAGGCAGUAGGUAAUUAAAAAGAAAAAAAUGUUUAUUUUUGUUUGCAACAGUAUGGCAAUGGUAAUUUGCUUAGGAGUGUCGGUCAUGUUUAUUUGUUAGAAUAAGUGAAGGCGAGAUUAGUAACAAGUACUGCUUGUUUAAUUUGAUUGCAAUAAGGACUACGUUGAAGGAGCGAGCGAGAGGGAAAUAAUUCCUUGGAGAAGAUUUUGUAGAAUGAUUGGACUAUUAUCUUGCAAUAAACUGUAAAGGUACAUAUUUCUUUCUUUUUGUAAUGGUUAAAUGUAACCAUGUCGGUGAUUCAAUUAACCUUGCUUGGUUAUUAUUUUUAUUUUGUUUUGUUUUUUGGGUUAUCUGUUGGUGGCCAAUUAUGUAUGGAUGACAUUGGCGUUAUGAAUUGUUAAUUUAGUUUUGUGAAUGGCUGCACGUAGCUGAGGAAAAAAAUGAGUUGCUUAGCUAUAAAAGCAAGCAUGUUCAUGCGCUUUGGGAAUGUACCCCCUUGAAAUGCUUUGUAUACAUGGUAAAAUAGGCUAUAUAUCUAUUGCAGAAAAUGAAUAAAUUUUCAUGUUGACCAUGUUCUUUAUGGGCCAUGAGUUGAUGUUCAUGAUUGUUUUAUAUUGUAGGACUGCUCAAUGGGGUUCUGUUAAGAGAAGGUCAGGCUCUACCAGGUAGUCACCUUAUGGCUCAACAUUUUUUUCAUAAUGUUCCCAUCACAUGAGUCUGUUUGGACAAGUUCUGCCUGUUCAACAUGUAGUGUCUCCGAAGUCUAUCUUACUGUUUGUGUGUGAAGUGUUGCCCUCUCCAUUAGUAGCAAGGAGCCAAGGACAGGAUUGUUUGCAGGUGUUCUUAAAUUAAGCAUGCAUUUAGAACAUGUAAAAAAGAGUGCCUUUCUCAUGGCAUGCAGAGGAAAACACCCAUGAGAAGAAUUUAGUAGUAAAUAUAUUACAAAGGGCAUCUGAUUUUGUUCCUGAAUGAUGAUAUGGUUCUCAGCUGUUUUUAUGAUUAUAUUCAUAAUAGUCUGAAUUCAUUUUUGAGUUUCUCUUUUAUGGAUUGUUAAAAUCUGGCAACAAGACAUGUAGUAGUUGAAAGAAGAAAUGGCAACAAUUUCAAUAAUUUAUUUAAUCCUGUUGUUAGCUCUAUUGUGAAAUGGUUAAUGGUAUUCAGGUACCUCUCGAUUAAUGUAUAGAUAGAUUCGGAUGGUUUCAUAGCAAUGUAAAAAGUUUGCUAAAUUCACGAAAUACAAUCUGGAUUCCCAAGAUUAUUAAGAAAUCUUCAUCGAAAUUACUGGGAAGCUACCUUAGAAUCAGCGGAGAACUAUCUAAAAUCUAUGUAGAAACUAAUUAAUUUAUAGUGGUUCAAAAUCCAAACUUUUGUUUUUUUGUCCGAGAAGUUAGAGCAAUUAGGCCAAGGUCAAUUAAGAAACCGCUAGCUGUUUCUUGUGAUUUAUCGAUUAAGUGAAUGUUCAGCGACUUUCAGCCUUAUGUUGGAUUACCUGUCUAGGCUGCCAAAUAAAACGGGUGAUUACAGUAUCCCAUUUUGUCUUCAAAAUGCUUAGAAAGUUUUAUCUUUUGAGGCCUUAAUUUCUUCCUGAUUUGAUGUGUAUACAUACUCCUGGAAUUAACGAACAUUCAGGGCCAGGAUCCUUCACAAUCUCAGGAGCAAUUUUGUCGUCCUUGGCUCCAUUUCUAGUAAAAUCAAGAAAACGUAACGGGGUAGUUAAUUUGGUGGCAAAUUAGAUCACGUUUGUGUGUCCCAAAUUCGAACCUCUGUUCCUCAAAUGUAAUUAUGAUCCGCAAGUCAUUUUCUAUGGUCCAGGACGUAUUUGUUUAACUAAUUUUUUUUUUAGUUUUUUUAUAAGCCACGAGGAGUUUUGCAUGGAAACCAUUAAUUUAGUACCAAAAACCCUGCCAGCUGCGACUUAAGAGAUUAUUUACUUACUUUCAUUGCAGAAGUAACAUUGUUGCGUGCAUGCUUCAACAUUAUGUUGUUGGUUACUUAAGUCUGUUUUUAUAGCAACCAAUAGGUUUCAGGAUUGGGGCUCCUGAGGAAUAUCUGAACCAGUAACAAAGUAUUUGAAAAUGGCUUCUUCUUUACUUGACAAGCGAAAUACUUAAAUUCGAAUCUAUAAUUUUGUUGGUUGAUCGAUAAUCUAUUCUGCCCCUUUUGGUUUUCAGCGAUUGCUUUUAAUAUUUAAGUAAUUUUUUUUUAUUUCUUGCCUUAUAAUUCACUAUCUCUUUUAUCUUCUACUAAAGUUACUAAAUACAGAUUUUUAUCUCUGUGUUACUGUGCAAGCCUGUGAUAGCAAUACGGAUGACCCAGAUGAAUUCAACAUCAACCUUUUGAACCUUGGUUUUGUCUGUCAUUAUAAUAUUUUGUUAUAUGUAUAACUUAAUUUCGGAUGGACCUUUGUUUAUCUUUAGAUUGGGGAA
RNAcentral lists this long non-coding RNA (2791 nucleotides) under Citrus maxima (pomelo). Its description in RNAcentral is "long non-coding RNA (CMAX_LNC002150)". Lineage: Eukaryota; Viridiplantae; Streptophyta; Magnoliopsida; Sapindales; Rutaceae. The record is from RNAcentral.